AUGAUUGCGAAUCGUUGUCUGCAGUGCUGGCCGGGUCGCUCUGGCAAGUGCACGCAGACAGCUUUCAUCCAAUACCCUGUGAACCUUUGGCCUCUUGCUAGCUUCGGCCAGCAGAGGAUUUUACACACUCGAAUGUAAUGAAAUUAUUGUUGUGCGCAGCACUACUAUA
This 169-nucleotide unclassified non-coding RNA is filed under the name uncultured Sebacina. RNAcentral describes it as "sequence contains ITS1". The record is from RNAcentral. Lineage: Eukaryota; Fungi; Basidiomycota; Agaricomycetes; Sebacinales; Sebacinaceae.